GAUGAAGAACGUAGCGAAAUGCGAUAACUAAUGUAAAUUGCAGAAUUCCGUGAAUCAUCGAGUCUUUGAACGCACAUUGCGCCCCCUGGUAUUCCGGGGGGCAUGCCUGUCCGAGCGUCAUUGCUGCCCAUCAAGCACGGCUUGUGUGUUGGGUCCUCGUCCCCCCCGGGGGACGUGCCCGAAAGGCAGCGGCGGCACCGCGUCCGGUCCUCGAGCGUAUGGGGCUUUGUCACCCGCUCUGCAGGCCCGGCCGGCGCUGGCCGACGCGAAAGCAACCAUUUUUUCUCCAGGUUGACCUCGGAUCAGGUAGGGAUACCCGCUGAACUUAAGCAUAUCAAUAAGCGGAGGA
Molecule: unclassified non-coding RNA, 349 nt
Filed under: soil metagenome
Description: partial contains 5.8S ribosomal RNA, internal transcribed spacer 2, and large subunit ribosomal RNA
Rfam family: 5.8S ribosomal RNA (bases 1-120)
Source: RNAcentral